UGCAGCUUGUUUUGAGUAGGUAAUGUUCUUUACUGUGUUGAGUGAAAGGGGGAUAUAAAAUGACUGUCACCAUCGUAAGUAUAAGCAUUCAUGAUAGAGAAAUGCAGCCUUUAAUUCGCAUUAAACAACUACAACUUAAAAGGUAGGUUGACCGUUGGUUUUAAUAUUAUACCUAAUAUUCACAGGUUAAUGUUCUGGACGGAUAUUGGCUUUGGUGCGCACGUGGGACGUGCUAAUAUGGAUGGGCGUAAGCGAAAAAGAAUAAUUACAACUGAGAUUAAAUCCCCAAAUGGAAUUGCCAUCGACUUCGAAGAGGACCUGCUGUUUUGGUCUGACGGUGUUCGAGACGUCAUAGAGAGGUGCAGUCUCGUUGGAGCUGACAGACAAGUACUUGUGAGGGAUCCUGAUGCUUUCAUCAUGGCGCUCGUCAUCGACGGAGACAAGCUGUAUUACACCGCAUGGAACAGAGGAGGCAUUACUGUCGUAAACAAGGCGGACGGAUCCAACAAACAUUUUUUAAUGGAGUCACCAGUAUUUGUCGAACUCGACGACUUCCUUAUCGUGCGACCUAACAAAGG
Liolophura sinensis is the source of this 578-nucleotide long non-coding RNA. RefSeq lists it as uncharacterized. The record is from RefSeq and is a predicted model, not a curated record. The transcript has 3 exons. Lineage: Eukaryota; Metazoa; Mollusca; Polyplacophora; Chitonida; Chitonidae.